ACACGCAUGACACACUGCAUAUCAAUAAGCGGAGGAAAAGAAACUAACUAGGAUUCCCUCAGUAACGGCGAGUGAAGCGGGAAGAGCUCAAAUUUGAAAUCUUCAAGGUUCUACCUUGACGAAUUGUAGUUUAAAGAAGUGUUUUCUGUUGGAGUUUUGGUAAAAGUUCUUUGGAAUAGGACAUCAUAGAGGGUGAGAAUCCCGUAUUUGACCAUUAUUUCCAACUUUGUGAUACACUUUCAAAGAGUCGGAUUGUUUGGGAAUGCAGUCCAAAAUGGGUGGUAAAUUUCAUCUAAAGCUAAAUACUGGCGAGAGACCGAUAGCGAACAAGUACCGUGAGGGAAAGAUGAAAAGAACUUUGAAAAGAGAGUUAAACAGUACGUGAAAUUGUCAAAAGGGAAGCGUUUGACACCAGUGUUGUUUUCUCGAAAAUCAAUUAAAAAUGGUGGGAUUUUGUGUUGUAUUGACUUUAUCAGCUUUCUGCACUUUUCUCCUAUCUUUUUUAAUGCACUUUUCGUUUAACAAGUCAACAUCAAUUUCUUUUGCUGUAAAAGAGUCCAUUGGAAGGUGGCUUUCUUUUCGGAGAAAGUGUUUAUAGCCUUUGACUUCUGCAGUCGGAGAGAUUGAGGUCUGCAGCGUAGAUCCUUCGGGGUUAGAUACAUUUGUGCUAAGCUAUAGCCUUUCAUAGACAACUUGUUGACUAUGAUCAGUCAUGUAGCUUACUCGCUUAUGCUAUUUUACCUACGCUUAGGAUGUUGAACUACUGAGACAUAG
Molecule: ribosomal RNA, 774 nt
Filed under: uncultured Neocallimastigales
Lineage: Eukaryota; Fungi; Neocallimastigomycota; Neocallimastigomycetes; Neocallimastigales
Description: partial large subunit ribosomal RNA
Rfam family: Eukaryotic large subunit ribosomal RNA
Source: RNAcentral